UACAGAGGGUGCAAGCGUUAAUCGGAGUUACUGGGCGUAAAGGGCGCGUAGGCGGUUUUAUAAGUGAGAUGUGAAAGGCCUGGGCUUAACCUAGGAACGGCAUCUUAGACUAUAGGACUAGAGUGCAGUAGAGGGUGGCGGAAUUUCCGGUGUAGCGGUGAAAUGCGUAGAGAUCGGAAGGAACACCAGUGGCGAAGGCGGCCACCUGGACUGUCACUGACGCUGAGGCGCGAGAGCGUGGGUAGCAAACAGG
Molecule: ribosomal RNA, 253 nt
Filed under: uncultured bacterium
Lineage: Bacteria
Description: partial 16S ribosomal RNA
Rfam family: Bacterial small subunit ribosomal RNA
Source: RNAcentral